UUAUCUCUCUUUCACCAUUUUUCCAAAUUCUAAUGGAGCUAGAACCAAUCGGAAGCCAAGAAGUCCGGCAAGGCGAAGCCGACAAGAUCACCGGUCCAUGUCGCUUUCAUCGUCGAUUGCGAUCUCUCCGACAACUCGUUUGCCUCACUCACUCCAUUCUCAGGGAUGCAUCUUCGUCAUUGUUUCUGCUAAAUUUUCAAUCUAAAUCGUCUAUUGAGUUUGACUUAGGGUUUGGGCUUUCUAGGAGGUGAUGUGCUUGCUGAACCGCCCGAGCUUACUGGUGACGAGUAGACAGAUUCGAAUGUGCAGAAGGCGAUGCUGGGACAAGUAGGGAUCUCUUCAAGGUUGUUGCUUACUUACUCUGGAAUACCAUAAUUGUGAUCACUGCCUAGAUUAAGGGUGAAGGUGAUCAAGUAUAAAGCUUUAUAUACCUUGGGUGAAAAUUUGGUUCGUCGUGAUUAUGCAUUUCAUUGCUGUGACACCUGGAUCUUAUGUGCUGUGGCACUGCCCUCUUUACCGUGUGUUCUUGAUAGAUGAUCUACAUGGCAGAAACCAUUAAAGUUUUAUAAGAGACGUGGUAAAGAAGGUUCCAAAGCUCAGGCCUUGAUCUGACAUUCUAUAGGCGAUGAUCUGUCUACAUGGGAACUUGCUUGAUUUGGUUUCAGCAAGAUUUUUUGAGUUUUAGGAAUUUUUAUGAUUUCUUUCUUAUUAGGUUUUGUUUUACUUUAUCCUAGUGGUUUUAGGGUUUUAGCUUCUCUAUAUAUAAAGGCCUUUGUAGCCUUUUGCAGGCAGAAUUGAGUUUAUAAAAAAUUGAAAGCUUUUGUUUCCUUUCAGGCCUGUGUGACGCAGCCUAAUUUCUGGGUGUGAUGCCUAGAGUUCUACUGGUGUGAUUCAAGUAGUCUUGUUCUGGUCUUGAAUUCCCACCUUUAAUUCCUUCUUAGCCUAAGAGUUUUUAAACAAUCCUUAGCCUACAGUUCUCAUUAUUUGUCCUGCAUCAGUUCCGUUUUUGUAUUCUCUGUGGCAAAUUUGGAUGUUGAUUUAUUUUGGUUUAAAUACCAAGCUCUCGUUUAACUAUUUACCUGUUAGUAAGCCAUAACUAUAUUAGUUAAUGUUGUCUCAGAUUUGUUAAUUUAGUAGGUUUGCAAUCUACUCCUGGAUUUCUAGUAUACCCCAUAUUACUUA
Long non-coding RNA from Argentina anserina (silverweed cinquefoil), 1182 nucleotides. RefSeq lists it as uncharacterized. The transcript is spliced from 3 exons. The record is from RefSeq and is a predicted model, not a curated record. Lineage: Eukaryota; Viridiplantae; Streptophyta; Magnoliopsida; Rosales; Rosaceae.